Molecule: ribosomal RNA, 492 nt
Filed under: uncultured bacterium
Lineage: Bacteria
Description: partial 16S ribosomal RNA
Rfam family: Bacterial small subunit ribosomal RNA
Source: RNAcentral
AGUGAACGCUGGCGGUAUGCCUAACACAUGCAAGUCGAACGGCAGCACAGUAAGAGCUUGCUCUUACGGGUGGCGAGUGGCGGACGGGUGAGGAAUACAUCGGAAUCUACUUUUUCGUGGGGGAUAACGUAGGGAAACUUACGCUAAUACCGCAUACGACCUACGGGUGAAAGCAGUGGAUCUUCGGACCUUGCGCGAUUGAAUGAGCCGAUGUCGGAUUAGCUAGUUGGCGGGGUAAAGGCCCACCAAGGCGACGAUCCGUAGCUGGUCUGAGAGGAUGAUAAGCGACACUGGAACUGAGACACGGUCCAGACUCCUCAGGGAGGCAGAAGUGGGGAAUAUUGGACAAUGGGAGCGAGACUGAUCCAGCCCUACCGCGUGGGUGAAGAAGGCCUUCGGGUUGUAAAGACCUUUUGUUGGGAAAGAAAAGCAGCAGGUUAAUACCCAGCUGUGCUGACGGUACCCAAAGAAUAAGCACCGGCUAACUUCGUG